This 2526-nucleotide ribosomal RNA is filed under the name Escherichia coli. RNAcentral's name for it is "partial 23S ribosomal RNA". It matches the Rfam family "Bacterial large subunit ribosomal RNA", at positions 419 to 2925 of the family's 2925-position model. Lineage: Bacteria; Pseudomonadati; Pseudomonadota; Gammaproteobacteria; Enterobacterales; Enterobacteriaceae. The record is from RNAcentral.
GGGACACGUGGUAUCCUGUCUGAAUAUGGGGGGACCAUCCUCCAAGGCUAAAUACUCCUGACUGACCGAUAGUGAACCAGUACCGUGAGGGAAAGGCGAAAAGAACCCCGGCGAGGGGAGUGAAAAAGAACCUGAAACCGUGUACGUACAAGCAGUGGGAGCCUCUUAAUGGGGUGACUGCGUACCUUUUGUAUAAUGGGUCAGCGACUUAUAUUCUGUAGCAAGGUUAACCGAAUAGGGGAGCCGAAGGGAAACCGAGUCUUAACUGGGCGUUAAGUUGCAGGGUAUAGACCCGAAACCCGGUGAUCUAGCCAUGGGCAGGUUGAAGGUUGGGUAACACUAACUGGAGGACCGAACCGACUAAUGUUGAAAAAUUAGCGGAUGACUUGUGGCUGGGGGUGAAAGGCCAAUCAAACCGGGAGAUAGCUGGUUCUCCCCGAAAGCUAUUUAGGUAGCGCCUCGUGAAUUCAUCUCCGGGGGUAGAGCACUGUUUCGGCAAGGGGGUCAUCCCGACUUACCAACCCGAUGCAAACUGCGAAUACCGGAGAAUGUUAUCACGGGAGACACACGGCGGGUGCUAACGUCCGUCGUGAAGAGGGAAACAACCCAGACCGCCAGCUAAGGUCCCAAAGUCAUGGUUAAGUGGGAAACGAUGUGGGAAGGCCCAGACAGCCAGGAUGUUGGCUUAGAAGCAGCCAUCAUUUAAAGAAAGCGUAAUAGCUCACUGGUCGAGUCGGCCUGCGCGGAAGAUGUAACGGGGCUAAACCAUGCACCGAAGCUGCGGCAGCGACACUAUGUGUUGUUGGGUAGGGGAGCGUUCUGUAAGCCUGUGAAGGUGGCCUGUGAGGGUUGCUGGAGGUAUCAGAAGUGCGAAUGCUGACAUAAGUAACGAUAAAGCGGGUGAAAAGCCCGCUCGCCGGAAGACCAAGGGUUCCUGUCCAACGUUAAUCGGGGCAGGGUGAGUCGACCCCUAAGGCGAGGCCGAAAGGCGUAGUCGAUGGGAAACAGGUUAAUAUUCCUGUACUUGGUGUUACUGCGAAGGGGGGACGGAGAAGGCUAUGUUGGCCGGGCGACGGUUGUCCCGGUUUAAGCGUGUAGGCUGGUUUUCCAGGCAAAUCCGGAAAACCAAGGCUGAGGCGUGAUGACGAGGCACUACGGUGCUGAAGCGACAAAUGCCCUGCUUCCAGGAAAAGCCUCUAAGCAUCAGGUAACAUCAAAUCGUACCCCAAACCGACACAGGUGGUCAGGUAGAGAAUACCAAGGCGCUUGAGAGAACUCGGGUGAAGGAACUAGGCAAAAUGGUGCCGUAACUUCGGGAGAAGGCACGCUGAUAUGUAGGUGAAGCGACUUGCUCGUGGAGCUGAAAUCAGUCGAAGAUACCAGCUGGCUGCAACUGUUUAUUAAAAACACAGCACUGUGCAAACACGAAAGUGGACGUAUACGGUGUGACGCCUGCCCGGUGCCGGAAGGUUAAUUGAUGGGGUUAGCGGUAACGCGAAGCUCUUGAUCGAAGCCCCGGUAAACGGCGGCCGUAACUAUAACGGUCCUAAGGUAGCGAAAUUCCUUGUCGGGUAAGUUCCGACCUGCACGAAUGGCGUAAUGAUGGCCAGGCUGUCUCCACCCGAGACUCAGUGAAAUUGAACUCGCUGUGAAGAUGCAGUGUACCCGCGGCAAGACGGAAAGACCCCGUGAACCUUUACUAUAGCUUGACACUGAACAUUGAGCCUUGAUGUGUAGGAUAGGUGGGAGGCUUUGAAGUGUGGACGCCAGUCUGCAUGGAGCCGACCUUGAAAUACCACCCUUUAAUGUUUGAUGUUCUAACGUGGGCCCCUAAUCGGGGUUGCGGACAGUGUCUGGUGGGUAGUUUGACUGGGGCGGUCUCCUCCUAAAGAGUAACGGAGGAGCACGAAGGUUGGCUAAUCCUGGUCGGACAUCAGGAGGUUAGUGCAAUGGCAUAAGCCAGCUUGACUGCGAGCGUGACGGCGCGAGCAGGUGCGAAAGCAGGUCAUAGUGAUCCGGUGGUUCUGAAUGGAAGGGCCAUCGCUCAACGGAUAAAAGGUACUCCGGGGAUAACAGGCUGAUACCGCCCAAGAGUUCAUAUCGACGGCGGUGUUUGGCACCUCGAUGUCGGCUCAUCACAUCCUGGGGCUGAAGUAGGUCCCAAGGGUAUGGCUGUUCGCCAUUUAAAGUGGUACGCGAGCUGGGUUUAGAACGUCGUGAGACAGUUCGGUCCCUAUCUGCCGUGGGCGCUGGAGAACUGAGGGGGGCUGCUCCUAGUACGAGAGGACCGGAGUGGACGCAUCACUGGUGUUCGGGUUGUCAUGCCAAUGGCACUGCCCGGUAGCUAAAUGCGGAAGAGAUAAGUGCUGAAAGCAUCUAAGCACGAAACUUGCCCCGAGAUGAGUUCUCCCUGACUCCUUGAGAGUCCUGAAGGAACGUUGAAGACGACGACGUUGAUAGGCCGGGUGUGUAAGCGCAGCGAUGCGUUGAGCUAACCGGUACUAAUGAACCGUGAGGCUUAACCUU